CCUGGCUCAGAUUGAACGCUGGCGGCAUGCCUAACACAUGCAAGUCGAACGGCAGCACGGUCUAGUUACUAGAUGGGUGGCGAGUGGCGGACGGGUGAGUAAUGCGCAGGAAUAUGCCUUAAAGUGGGGGACAACUUGGGGAAACUCAAGCUAAUACCGCGUAAUCUCUUCGGAGAAAAGCUGGGGACCUUCGGGCCUGGCGCUUUAAGAUUAGCCU
RNAcentral lists this ribosomal RNA (217 nucleotides) under uncultured bacterium. RNAcentral describes it as "partial 16S ribosomal RNA". It matches the Rfam family "Bacterial small subunit ribosomal RNA", at positions 18 to 232 of the family's 1533-position model. The record is from RNAcentral.